Molecule: ribosomal RNA, 460 nt
Filed under: uncultured bacterium
Lineage: Bacteria
Description: partial 16S ribosomal RNA
Rfam family: Bacterial small subunit ribosomal RNA
Source: RNAcentral
CCUACGGGUGGCAGCAGUGAGGAAUAUUGGUCAAUGGGCGGAAGCCUGAACCAGCCAAGUAGCGUGCAGGAUGACGGCCCUACGGGUUGUAAACUGCUUUUAUACGGGAAUAACGCGCCUUACGUGUAGCGCUUUGCAUGUUCCGUAUGAAUAAGGACUGGCGAAUCCCGUGCCAGCAGCCGCGGUAAUAAGGAAGGUCCGGGCGUUAUCCGGAUUUAUUGGGUUUAAAGGGGGCGUAGGCCGCAUGUCAAGCGUGCUGUGAAAUGGCCGGGCUCAACCCGGGCCUUGCAGCGCAAACUGGCGUGCUUGAGUCCGCGGAAAGCAGGCGGAAUUCGUCGUGUAGCGGUGAAAUGCUUAGAUAUGACGAAGAACCCCGAUUGCGAAGGCAGCUUGCUGCAGCGGAACUGACGCUGAUGCUCGAAAGCGCGGGUAUCGAACAGGAUUAGAUACCCUUGUAGUC